Chiroxiphia lanceolata (lance-tailed manakin) is the source of this 319-nucleotide long non-coding RNA. RefSeq lists it as uncharacterized. The record is from RefSeq and is a predicted model, not a curated record. Lineage: Eukaryota; Metazoa; Chordata; Aves; Passeriformes; Pipridae. The transcript is spliced from 3 exons.
UUUGGUAAUUGUGACAUGACCAGCACGUCUGCUCUGGCACAGGGGAGAGACCUUCAGGCCCCAAAGGUGUCUUCACUCUUCCCUGGGUCUAGGAAUCCAAAGGCUAUUUUGAGGGGAAACUGAGGCACAUAGGAAGUAAGCAAGUCUGGCUGGACCAAGUCCUGCACUUGAUUCAACACAGGAACAGCUGCAGCUUUGAUACUUCUGGAAAUACUCAGAUGUGACUAAAAAUGGCUACAGUUAUGAAUGGUAUCUACACUUGAAAAUUGAAGAGCAUACCUGGAGAUAAAGAAGGAACAGAUGUCUCCAGACAAGACCC